Vidua chalybeata is the source of this 712-nucleotide long non-coding RNA. RefSeq lists it as uncharacterized. The transcript is spliced from 7 exons. The record is from RefSeq and is a predicted model, not a curated record. Lineage: Eukaryota; Metazoa; Chordata; Aves; Passeriformes; Viduidae.
CUCCACUCUCUGAUAGAGACACAAACCCAGCCUGAGGGAACAAAAAAGCCUGCCUGGGAGCAAUGUAAGGCUGCUGUCUUCAUCCCAGCAUCUGCAGUCCAUUGUUACUGGAUCUCCUGGGAUUGUGCCUAAAGAAGUUUCCAAAUCAAGUUGUAGUCAAGAUUCUUUUUCUGAAACUGCCAAAGGGAACAAUUGUGGUGGGAAUCUGAUUACGGUGUGGUCCACAUUCACCAUAAGGGAAGACAGACUUUUCUAUCCCGAGAUACACUGCAAUGUCUUCAUUCUUUGUGCAUUUAAACCCAGGCCAGAAACUAAUGCACAAGUGAAAGAAAACAGGCUACUGAAGGAAAUCCAGUCACACCGCGGGGGCUGCUGAGCACUCAGGAUGUUUGGGUUAUUUCAUUAUCUGCAGUGUUUGCAGUCAUUCCCCUGGAGUAUAAUCUGCAGCCGGAAUUAACACCUUAUUUACACCUUUCCCCGGUCAUUGAGAUUGAUGUGGAAAACCUCCAUAAAUGUUGUGUCCUCCCAUGCUGCUCUCCAGGAAGAACUUGUCCCUCUCCUCACAUUGCUCUCCUGCGUGACCAGGUGCUGCUUUGCACACCUGACAAUCUGCUGGGACGUCGUUUGCCUGCAGUCACGGCAGUACCACCCAUGGGACUGAAUCAGUCAGAAAUUAAAAAGUCACAAAUCAUCCAGCCAAAAAAAAAAAAAA